Molecule: regulatory RNA element, 107 nt
Organism: Actinoplanes friuliensis DSM 7358
Lineage: Bacteria; Bacillati; Actinomycetota; Actinomycetes; Micromonosporales; Micromonosporaceae
Rfam family: TPP riboswitch aptamer (THI element)
About the family: Vitamin B(1) in its active form thiamin pyrophosphate (TPP) is an essential coenzyme that is synthesised by coupling of pyrimidine and thiazole moieties in bacteria.
Source: Rfam
GCAAUCCGACAGGGGAGCGCACAGCGCUGAGAGUGUGGGGUGACACCCGCAGACCCUCGAACCUGAUCUGGGUAAUGCCAGCGCAGGGAGCUCGGUCUCUCUUCAGC